UAUAUGUAUGAAUGUAUAAAAUUUGUUAAUUUAUAAGAGUAUACAUCGAUUUACAACAAUUUGUGUGGCGUUAACAUAAGGACCUUUGGAUGGGACUGAAGCUCAUGGGUAUUGUCGGCUUUGGUUAUACGCUGGUAUAAGAAAGCUUCGAGGUAGAUGGCAUCCAACGUCCAUGGAGCUCCAUUUAAUUUGUGCCGGAAAAUUACAACCCAUUUACAUGCACUGAUGAUCAAAACGGAAAGGAUAAAAAACUUGUGCUUCCGAUGACCGACCGGAUUAAGAUUACAAUCUCAAGGAGUAGAAGACUGAGGAAAACUAUGGUCAUGGUAUACAGGUGUGAGAAGAAUUCAGAGAGAGAGGCCAUGGCGGCUGCUGCUGCUGAAGUUAGCGUGUAAAACUAUGGAACUUUAUAAUAGUAUUUAUGACACGUACGAUUCCACAGUGAAUGUGGCUAGGUGCACUUCAUCAGGCUUUGGUGCACUUAAUGUUCACUUCCGAACUUGUUGAGUAACUAAAGUGGUGACAUGUGGAAUCUUGGCAUAGAAUUAUCCCUGAUUAGGUUUAAAAAGAAACAUAUUGUUCUCCAAGUUAAUUAAUAUUCAACGGAUUUCAGCUAUGUGGUCAAUGAAUUUGACUGAAAAACAAAUAAAAUUAGGAAGAAACCAAGAUGAGGAGUAAUACAUGGUUGAUCUCACAUGAGAUUAUCCUCACAAGUCAACCAAAAGUGUUGAAAAUUAUGUGGUUUCAUCGAUGAGAUCCUCAGACUGGAGUCAGGACGGCUAAAUUCAUCAGCACAGAAAGGGAGCGGUAGGACUGUUCAAAAAGAAACUCUGGUGUGACAUUAGCACUAUCUUUCGCAUAAUUAUUAUGGCAUAGACUAUAGGGUCCAAUACGUUAUUGUCAGUAUGAUGAAAAAUGUCAA
Molecule: long non-coding RNA, 922 nt
Organism: Populus euphratica (Euphrates poplar)
Lineage: Eukaryota; Viridiplantae; Streptophyta; Magnoliopsida; Malpighiales; Salicaceae
Exons: 3
Source: RefSeq, a predicted model, not a curated record